CCGUGCACUGCUCCACAGCCUCAUGCCGUAGACAAACGUGGCUCUCGCAAUAAUAAAUAAGAAAUUGCAAUUAGCUAUUGAAAUACAAAACAUAUCCUUAAGAGUACAAUCAUAAAAUCGAAUCAAGUCCGAAAAGCAUAAGACGCCCCUAUUCACAUUGCUUCUAAAGCUAUGCAAGUUCGAAGAAGAGAUAUAUCAUUCUUAGACAAAUCGGCUGUCGCCCACUCAUAGGCGGAUAAACCAGGCAACUAAAGCACCAGCAGUAUACAGAGACAAACACGAAUAAUAAAUCAGAGGCUAUGCAUAAAUGACAUUAAGCUUAGAGAAAUUAUUUCUUUGACAUCUGCUCACAGGUCAUCAGGAACAUGAGAAUUAGCAUCUCAUCUUUGGAAAGAUACAAUCAUCGUCUGAUUGCACUCAUGGAUGAAAUUAGUCUGGUAAGCUGGACCAUUUAAUCGGUUCAAAGUAUUCUAAGUGAAUCACACUUUCAAAUAAAAGUUAACAAAGCUUUUUU
This 514-nucleotide long non-coding RNA is filed under the name Salvia miltiorrhiza (redroot sage). RNAcentral's name for it is "long non-coding RNA (SMIL_LNC003582)". The record is from RNAcentral. Lineage: Eukaryota; Viridiplantae; Streptophyta; Magnoliopsida; Lamiales; Lamiaceae.